Molecule: ribosomal RNA, 459 nt
Filed under: uncultured bacterium
Lineage: Bacteria
Description: partial 16S ribosomal RNA
Rfam family: Bacterial small subunit ribosomal RNA
Source: RNAcentral
CCUACGGGAGGCUGCAGUGAGGAAUAUUGGUCAAUGGGCGCGAGCCUGAACCAGCCAAGUCGCGUGAGGGAAGACGGUCCUAUGGAUUGUAAACCUCUUUUGUCGGGGAGCAAAAGACGCCACGCGUGGCGUUCCGAGAGUACCCGACGAAAAAGCAUCGGCUAACUCCGUGCCAGCAGCCGCGGUAAUACGGAGGAUGCGAGCGUUAUCCGGAUUUAUUGGGUUUAAAGGGUGCGCAGGCGGAGGAUCAAGUCAGCGGUAAAAUUGAGAGGCUCAACCUCUUCGAGCCGUUGAAACUGUGUGUCUUGAGUGUGCGAGAGGUAUGCGGAAUGCGUGGUGUAGCGGUGAAAUGCAGAGAUAUCACGCAGAACUCCGAUUGCGAAGGCAGCAUACCGGCGCACAACUGACGUUCAUGCACGAAAGUGUGGGUAUCGAACAGGAUUAGAUACCCUUGUAGUC